RNAcentral lists this ribosomal RNA (465 nucleotides) under uncultured bacterium. RNAcentral's name for it is "partial 16S ribosomal RNA". It matches the Rfam family "Bacterial small subunit ribosomal RNA", at positions 28 to 507 of the family's 1533-position model. The record is from RNAcentral.
GACGAACGCUGGCGGCGUGCUUAACACAUGCAAGUCGAACGGAAAGGCCCUGCUUGCAGGGUACUCGAGUGGCGAACGGGUGAGUAACACGUGGGUGAUCUGCCCUGCACUUCGGGAUAAGCCUGGGAAACUGGGUCUAAUACCGGAUAGGAGCCAUUUUUAGUGUGAUGGUUGGAAAGUUUUUUCGGUGUAGGAUGAGCUCGCGGCCUAUCAGCUUGUUGGUGGGGUAAUGGCCUGCCAAGGCGGCGACGGGUAGCCGGCCUGAGAGGGUGGACGGCCACAUUGGGACUGAGAUACGGCCCAGACUCCUACGGGAGGCAGCAGUGGGGAAUAUUGCACAAUGGGCGCAAGCCUGAUGCAGCGACGCCGCGUGGGGGAUAACGGCCUUCGGGUUGUAAACUCCUUUCGCUAGGGACGAAGCUUUUUGUGACGGUACCUAGAUAAGAAGCACCGGCUAACUACGUG